UGCCAGCAGCCGCGGUAAGACAGAGGGUGCAAACGUUGUUCGGAAUUACUGGGCGUAAAGCGCGCGUAGGCGGCUAUGCAAGUCGGGUGUGAAAGCCCACGGCUCAACCGUGGAAGUGCAUUCGAAACUGCGUAGCUAGAGUCCUGGAGAGGAAGGUGGAAUACUUGGUGUAGAGGUGAAAUUCGUAGAUAUCAAGUGGAACACCGGUGGCGAAGGCGGCCUUCUGGACAGUGACUGACGCUGAGGUGCGAAAGCGUGGGGAGCAAACAGGAUUAGAUA
Molecule: ribosomal RNA, 279 nt
Filed under: uncultured bacterium
Lineage: Bacteria
Description: partial 16S ribosomal RNA
Rfam family: Bacterial small subunit ribosomal RNA
Source: RNAcentral